GGCCUAACACAUGCAAGUCGAGGGGUAACGAUGGCUUCGGCCAGGCGACGACCGGCGCACGGGUGAGUAUCGCGUUUGUAACCUGCCUCUAACUGGAGGAUAGCCCGAAGAAAUUCGGAUUAAUACUCCAUAAAGCCAUGAUUUGGCAUCAUUUCAUGGUUAAAGCUCCGGCGGUUAGAGAUGGGCAUGCGUGACAUUAGUUAGUUGGUGAGGUAACGGCUCACCAAGACAACGAUGUCUAGGGGGUCUGAGAGGAUGGUCCCCCACACUGGUACUGAGACACGGACCAGACUCCUACGGGAGGCAGCAGUGAGGAAUAUUGGUCAAUGGGCGCAAGCCUGAACCAGCCAUGCCGCGUGAAGGAUGACAGCCCUAUGGGUUGUAAACUUCUUUUGUACGGGAAGAAACACUUCUACGUGUAGAAGCUUGACGGUACCGUACGAAUAAGCAUCGGCUAACUCCGUGCCAGCAGCCGCGGUAAUACGGAGGAUGCAAGCGUUAUCCAGAUUCAUUGGGUUUAAAGGGUACGUAGGCGGGAGAUUAAGUCAGUGGUGAAAUCCUGCAGCUUAACUGUGGAACUGUCAUUGAUACUGGUCUUCUUGAAUAUAGUUGAAGUAGGCGGAAUGUGUAAUGUAGCGGUGAAAUGCUUAGAUAUUACACAGAACACCGAUUGCGAAGGCAGCUUACUAAACUAUGAUUGACGCUGAGGUACGAAAGCGUGGGGAGCGAACAGGAUUAGAUACCCUGGUAGUCCACGCUGUAAACGAUGAUCACUCGUUGUUGGCGACAUAUUGUCAGCGACUGAGCGAAAGCAUUAAGUGAUCCACCUGGGGAGUACGAUCGCAAGAUUGAAACUCAAAGGAAUUGACGGGGGCCCGCACAAGCAGCGGAGCGUGUGGUUUAAUUCGAUGCAACGCGAAGAACCUUACCAGGGCUUGACAUGUAGGUAGUAGUGAAGCGAAAGCGGAACGAUCCUUCGGGAAGCCUACACAGGUGCUGCAUGGCUGUCGUCAGCUCGUGCCGUGAGGUGUUAGGUUAAGUCCUGUAACGAGCGCAACCCCUGCCGUUAGUUACAAGUGUCUAA
This 1084-nucleotide ribosomal RNA is filed under the name uncultured organism. RNAcentral's name for it is "bacterial SSU rRNA". It matches the Rfam family "Bacterial small subunit ribosomal RNA", at positions 45 to 1128 of the family's 1533-position model. The record is from RNAcentral.